AGGAAGUAAAAGUCGUAACAAGGUUUCCGUAGGUGAACCUGCGGAAGGAUCAUUACCGAAUUGUUGACACGAGUUGUUGCUGGUCCUCAAAUGGGGGCAUGUGCACGCUCUGUUUACACAUCCACUCACACCUGUGCACCCUCUGUAGCUCUGUGACAUGGGGGACUCUGUCCUCCUGUUGCGGCUCUACAUCUUUACACACACUCUGUAACAAAGUAUCAUGGAAUGUAUGCCGCGUUUAACGCAAUACAAUACAACUUUCAGCAACGGAUCUCUUGGCUCUCGCAUCGAUGAAGAACGCAGCGAAAUGCGAUAAGUAAUGUGAAUUGCAGAAUUCAGUGAAUCAUCGAAUCUUUGAACGCACCUUGCGCCCUUUGGCUAUUCCGAAGGGCAUGCCUGUUUGAGUAUCAUGAACACCUCAACUCUCGUGGUUUGCUACGAUGAGCUUGGACUCUGGGGGUUUUGCCGGCCUGUGGUUGGCUCCUCUCAAAUGAAUCAGCUUCCCAGUGUUUGGUGGAGCCGCAGGUGUGAUAACUAUCUACGCUUGUGGUUUUUCACCAGAUAACCUUCGGUGACGGAGGUUCGCUGGGGCUCAUAAAUGUCUCUCCUCAGUGAAGACAGCUUUUGAACGUUUGAUCUCAAAUCAGGUAGGACUACCCGCUGAACUUAAGCAUAUC
RNAcentral lists this ribosomal RNA (677 nucleotides) under uncultured Tomentella. Its description in RNAcentral is "eukaryotic LSU rRNA". The stretch from base 256 to 410 matches the Rfam family "5.8S ribosomal RNA". Lineage: Eukaryota; Fungi; Basidiomycota; Agaricomycetes; Thelephorales; Thelephoraceae. The record is from RNAcentral.